This 992-nucleotide ribosomal RNA is filed under the name Listeria monocytogenes. RNAcentral describes it as "partial 23S ribosomal RNA". It matches the Rfam family "Bacterial large subunit ribosomal RNA", at positions 408 to 1401 of the family's 2925-position model. Lineage: Bacteria; Bacillati; Bacillota; Bacilli; Caryophanales; Listeriaceae. The record is from RNAcentral.
CUGAGUACGGCGGAACACGUGAAAUUCCGUCGGAAUCCGGGAGGACCAUCUCCCAAGGCUAAAUACUCCCUAGUGACCGAUAGUGAACCAGUACCGUGAGGGAAAGGUGAAAAGCACCCCGGAAGGGGAGUGAAACAGUUCCUGAAACCGUGUGCCUACAAGUAGUUAGAGCCCGUUAAUGGGUGAUAGCGUGCCUUUUGUAGAAUGAACCGGCGAGUUACGAUUUGUUGCAAGGUUAAGCGGAAAAAGCGGAGCCGUAGCGAAAGCGAGUCUGAAUAGGGCGCAUAAGUAACAGGUCGUAGACCCGAAACCAGGUGAUCUACCCAUGUCCAGGAUGAAGGUAAGGUAAUACUUACUGGAGGUCCGAACCCACGCACGUUGAAAAGUGCGGGGAUGAGGUGUGGGUAGCGGAGAAAUUCCAAUCGAACUUGGAGAUAGCUGGUUCUCUCCGAAAUAGCUUUAGGGCUAGCCUCGAGGUAAAGAGUCAUGGAGGUAGAGCACUGUUUGGACUAGGGGCCCUUCUCGGGUUACCGAAUUCAGAUAAACUCCGAAUGCCAUGUACUUAUACUCGGGAGUCAGACUGCGAGUGAUAAGAUCCGUAGUCGAAAGGGAAACAGCCCAGACCACCAGUUAAGGUCCCCAAAUAUAUGUUAAGUGGAAAAGGAUGUGGGGUUGCUUAGACAACCAGGAUGUUGGCUUAGAAGCAGCCACCAUUGAAAGAGUGCGUAAUAGCUCACUGGUCGAGUGACCCCGCGCCGAAAAUGUACCGGGGCUAAACAUAUUACCGAAACUGUGGAUGAACCUCUUUAGAGGUUCGUGGUAGGAGAGCGUUCUAAGGGCGGUGAAGUCAGACCGGAAGGACUGGUGGAGCGCUUAGAAGUGAGAAUGCCGGUAUGAGUAGCGAAAGAAGGGUGAGAAUCCCUUCCACCGAAUAUCUAAGGUUUCCUGAGGAAGGCUCGUCCGCUCAGGGUUAGUCGGGACCUAAGCCGAGG